Molecule: non-coding RNA, 27 nt
Filed under: Mus musculus (house mouse)
Lineage: Eukaryota; Metazoa; Chordata; Mammalia; Rodentia; Muridae
Source: RNAcentral
AAGGCUGCUAGCAGAAUACUGGCUUCC